Molecule: ribosomal RNA, 271 nt
Filed under: uncultured prokaryote
Description: partial 16S ribosomal RNA
Rfam family: Bacterial small subunit ribosomal RNA
Source: RNAcentral
UACGUAGGUGGCAAGCGUUGUCCGGAUUUACUGGGCGUAAAGCGAGCGCAGGCGGUUCCUUAAGUCUGAUGUGAAAGCCCACGGCUUAACCGUGGAGGGUCAUUGGAAACUGGUCGACUUGAGUGCAGAAGAGGGAAGUGGAAUUCCAUGUGUAGCGGUGAAAUGCGUAGAGAUAUGGAGGAACACCAGUGGCGAAGGCGGCUUCCUGGUCUGUAACUGACACUGAGGCGCGAAAGCGUGGGGAGCAAACAGGAUUAGAUACCCCGGUAGU